RNAcentral lists this long non-coding RNA (203 nucleotides) under Bos taurus (domestic cattle). Its description in RNAcentral is "long non-coding RNA NONBTAT005957". The record is from RNAcentral. Lineage: Eukaryota; Metazoa; Chordata; Mammalia; Artiodactyla; Bovidae.
CUUAACUGAGUAUGUUUUCCUUUUUAAAAAUUUUGUCUGUGUUGCUUGGUUAUGUCUGCUGGUGAGGUGGUUCAUAAACAGUAGAGUCACAAAGAUUUGGGAAGGAAAAAGAAAUCCAGUUAACCCUCUGCCACAUUCAAAUAUGAAUGGUGUCUCAAAAAUUCUUAAGGUCUUUGAAGAGCUUUCUCUAUUUAGGUUAAGAA